GACAGAGGGUGCAACCGUUGUUCGGAAUUACUGGGCGUAAAGAGCGUGUAGGCGGCCAGGUAGGUCUGCUGUGAAAACUCGAGGCUCAACCUCGAGACGUCGGCGGAAACCAUCUGGCUAGAGUCCGGAAGAGGAGAGUGGAAUUCCUGGUGUAGCGGUGAAAUGCGCAGAUAUCAGGAAGAACACCCGUGGCGAAGGCGGCUCUCUGGGACGGUACUGACGCUGAGACGCGAAAGCGUGGGGAGCGAACAGG
RNAcentral lists this ribosomal RNA (253 nucleotides) under uncultured bacterium. RNAcentral describes it as "partial 16S ribosomal RNA". It matches the Rfam family "Bacterial small subunit ribosomal RNA", at positions 524 to 776 of the family's 1533-position model. The record is from RNAcentral.